Molecule: ribosomal RNA, 213 nt
Filed under: Escherichia coli
Lineage: Bacteria; Pseudomonadati; Pseudomonadota; Gammaproteobacteria; Enterobacterales; Enterobacteriaceae
Description: partial 23S ribosomal RNA
Rfam family: Bacterial large subunit ribosomal RNA
Source: RNAcentral
CACACUAUCAUUAACUGAAUCCAUAGGUUAAUGAGGCGAACCGGGGGAACUGAAACAUCUAAGUACCCCGAGGAAAAGAAAUCAACCGAGAUUCCCCCAGUAGCGGCGAGCGAACGGGGAGGAGCCCAGAGCCUGAAUCAGUGUGUGUGUUAGUGGAAGCGUCUGGAAAGGCGCGCGAUACAGGGUGACAGCCCCGUACACAAAAAUGCACAU